GGUCUAUAAUCCGAGACCUUAAAGGCGGAUGAUUCGUGGGGCGAUGGUUAAAGCCCUAAAACAACCUA
Molecule: non-coding RNA, 68 nt
Filed under: unclassified sequences
Description: GP20-b RNA
Rfam family: GP20-b RNA
Source: RNAcentral